UUUGCUUGAAUUGACGCCUUCUGCACAAUAUAUUGGCUCAAUCUUCAUUACUCCAGCUGUUGGUGGUUGGGGAUGUUCAAGUUUCUGAAGCAUAGAUUAAAAAUCACACCAGUAUUAAACAGCUCCGUGCUUUUUCUUUUUGGCUUUGCACUGUGCUACCUGUCUCCUGGUACAUUG
This is a small nucleolar RNA of Prunus persica (peach), 177 nucleotides long. It matches the Rfam family "small nucleolar RNA snoR137". NCBI's taxonomy places the organism in Eukaryota, Viridiplantae, Streptophyta, Magnoliopsida, Rosales, Rosaceae. The record is from Rfam.